RNAcentral lists this ribosomal RNA (326 nucleotides) under bacterium endosymbiont of Otiorhynchus salicicola. RNAcentral's name for it is "bacterial SSU rRNA". It matches the Rfam family "Bacterial small subunit ribosomal RNA", at positions 25 to 336 of the family's 1533-position model. The record is from RNAcentral.
CAGGACGAACGCUGGCGGCGUGCCUAACACAUGCAAGUCGAACGGAGAAAUUCAGCAAUGGAUUUCUUAGUGGCGAACGGGUGAGUAACGCGUAGACAACCUGCCUUCUAGAUGGGGACAACACCGCGAAAGUGGUGCUAAUACCGAAUGUUGUAACAUGAGCACCUGCUCGAGUUACUAAAGGUGGCCUCUAUUUAUAAGCUACCGCUAGAAGAUGGGUCUGCGUCUGAUUAGCUAGUUGGUGAGGUAAUGGCUCACCAAGGCGACGAUCAGUAGCCGGUCUGAGAGGAUGAACGGCCACACUGGGACUGAGACACGGCCCAGAC